CGGUGGAGGAGGUGGAUCCGGUAACGGAGGAGGGUACGGUGAAGGCGGUGGAUAUGGAGGAGGAUACGGUGAAGGCGGCGACUGAAUGAAGAAUAUUGCAUGCAUGCAAUAUCUUGUCCGUGCUAUGUGUUUAACGUAAUUAUUAUUAUUAGUAGGAAAAAAAUGCUAGAAUAAAAAUAAUUUCCUAAAGUGUGUGAAUAAAGGAGAUGGAAAAAGCUUCUGACGUGUUUGGUUAAUUAUGUACUCUUCCAUUUUCUUGAUGUUAUUGAUGUUUUAACUUUAUGUACUAUAAGUUGUAAUUUUUCAGUUUGAUUGUUGAGAAAAAUGAAUAAUGCAUGCACGUGUGUUCUUUUUCUUCUUUUCCGUCUA
Molecule: long non-coding RNA, 369 nt
Filed under: Brassica napus (rape)
Lineage: Eukaryota; Viridiplantae; Streptophyta; Magnoliopsida; Brassicales; Brassicaceae
Description: long non-coding RNA (BNAP_LNC009215)
Source: RNAcentral